RNAcentral lists this ribosomal RNA (500 nucleotides) under uncultured bacterium. RNAcentral's name for it is "partial 16S ribosomal RNA". It matches the Rfam family "Bacterial small subunit ribosomal RNA", at positions 30 to 523 of the family's 1533-position model. The record is from RNAcentral.
AUUGAACGCUGGCGGCAUGCCUUACACAUGCAAGUCGAACGGCAGCACGGGAGCAAUCCUGGUGGCGAGUGGCGAACGGGUGAGUAAAGUAUCGGAACGUGCCCAGUCGUGGGGGAUAACGUAGCGAAAGUUACGCUAAUACCGCAUACGAUCUAUGGAUGAAAGCGGGGGAUCGCAAGACCUCGCGCGAUUGGAGCGGCCGAUAUCAGAUUAGGUAGUUGGUGGGGUAAAGGCUCACCCAGCCGACGAUCUGUAGCUGGUCUGAGAGGACGACCAGCCACACUGGGACUGAGACACGGCCCAGACUCCUGCGGGAGGCAGCAGUGGGGAAUUUUGGACAAUGGGCGAAAGCCUGAUCCUGCCAUGCCGCGCGCAGGAUGAAGGCCUUCGGGUUGUAAACUGCUUUGGUACGGAACGAAAAGGUUUGGGCUAAUAAGCUGAGCUCAUGACGGUACCGUAAGAAUAAGCACCGGCUAACUACGUGCCAGCCGCCGCCGUAA